Molecule: long non-coding RNA, 366 nt
Organism: Myotis brandtii (Brandt's bat)
Lineage: Eukaryota; Metazoa; Chordata; Mammalia; Chiroptera; Vespertilionidae
Exons: 2
Source: RefSeq, a predicted model, not a curated record
CACUGCUCUCCCACAGUGAUCCCAUUCAGUGACUUUCAGAACUCUUCUGUCUUUCCAGAACAAUCACACAGAGGUUGUGUGACCUGGCUUCCUAGCCUCAAGUGCUGUAUCUGUAAAAUGGGGAGUACUAGCUACCUCAAAGAAUGUAGUGAGGACUGAAAGAAAGCACAUCUUGAAAACUGAUGGAACUUCCUGAGAGUCGCAGAAGAAGCAAGUGGAAACCAUGACGUUCAAGAGAAAAUAAUUUUAACUUUUGCUCUUUCCAUCUUAACACUUCCCACCACUCCCCUACUCUGAAUGGAGAAAGGCUGCUGUAGGCCAACUGGUGUCACUGAGACAAAAUAAAAUAUCCUGCAGAUUGCUGUA